AUACGGAGGGGGUUAGUGUUGUUCGGAAUUACUGGGCGUAAAGCGCACGUAGGCGGACUGGAAAGUUGGGGGUGAAAUCCCGGGGCUCAACCCCGGAACUGCCUCCAAAACUUCCAAUCUAGAGAUCGAGAGAGGUGAGUGGAAUUCCAAGUGUAGAGGUGAAAUUCGUAGAUAUUUGGAGGAACACCAGUGGCGAAGGCGGCUCACUGGCUCGAUACUGACGCUGAGGUGCGAAAGCGUGGGGAGCAAACAGGAUUAGAAACCCUUGUAGUCC
Molecule: ribosomal RNA, 274 nt
Filed under: uncultured bacterium
Lineage: Bacteria
Description: partial 16S ribosomal RNA
Rfam family: Bacterial small subunit ribosomal RNA
Source: RNAcentral